This 882-nucleotide ribosomal RNA is filed under the name uncultured bacterium. RNAcentral describes it as "bacterial SSU rRNA". It matches the Rfam family "Bacterial small subunit ribosomal RNA", at positions 55 to 934 of the family's 1533-position model. The record is from RNAcentral.
AUGCAGUUCGAACGGCAGCACGGGCUUCGGCCUGGUGGCGAGUGGCGAACGGGUGAGUAAUACAUCGGAACGUACCCAGAAGUGGGGGAUAACGCAGCGAAAGUUGCGCUAAUACCGCAUACGUUCUACGGAAGAAAGUGGGGGAUCUUCGGACCUCAUGCUUUUGGAGCGGCCGAUGUCUGAUUAGCUAGUUGGUGGGGUAAAGGCUCACCAAGGCGACGAUCAGUAGCUGGUCUGAGAGGACGACCAGCCACACUGGAACUGAGACACGGUCCAGACUCCUACGGGAGGCAGCAGUGGGGAAUUUUGGACAAUGGGCGCAAGCCUGAUCCAGCAAUGCCGCGUGAGUGAAGAAGGCCUUCGGGUUGUAAAGCUCUUUUGUCAGGGAAGAAACGGCUCCGGCUAAUAUCCGGGGCUAAUGACGGUACCUGAAGAAUAAGCACCGGCUAACUACGUGCCAGCAGCCGCGGUAAUACGUAGGGUGCAAGCGUUAAUCGGAAUUACUGGGCGUAAAGCGUGCGCAGGCGGUUUUGUAAGUCUGUCGUGAAAGCCCCGGGCUCAACCUGGGAAUUGCGAUGGAGACUGCAAGGCUUGAAUCUGGCAGAGGGGGGUAGAAUUCCACGUGUAGCAGUGAAAUGCGUAGAGAUGUGGAGGAACACCGAUGGCGAAGGCAGCCCCCUGGGUCAAGAUUGACGCUCAUGCACGAAAGCGUGGGGAGCAAACAGGAUUAGAUACCCUGGUAGUCCACGCCCUAAACGAUGUCUACUAGUUGUCGGGUUUUAAUUAACUUGGUAACGCAGCUAACGCGUGAAGUAACCGCCUGGGGAGUACGGUCGCAAGAUUAAAACUCAAAGGAAUUGACGGGGACCCGCACAAGCGGUG